GGAGAGGUGGGAGAGUGGCUUAAUCCACCGGUUUGCUAAACCGGCAUACCGUGUAAAGCGGUAUCGGGGGUUCGAAUCCCCCCCUCUCCG
This 90-nucleotide transfer RNA is filed under the name Salinivirga cyanobacteriivorans. It matches the Rfam family "tRNA". From Rfam's summary of the family: Transfer RNA (tRNA) molecules are approximately 80 nucleotides in length. Their secondary structure includes four short double-helical elements and three loops (D, anti-codon, and T loops). The record is from Rfam by way of RNAcentral. RNAcentral also lists the same sequence under 2 other names. Lineage: Bacteria; Pseudomonadati; Bacteroidota; Bacteroidia; Bacteroidales; Salinivirgaceae.